GCUCCAGGAAGUCGCAGAAGCCCUC
RNAcentral lists this microRNA (25 nucleotides) under Equus caballus (horse). RNAcentral's name for it is "eca-miR-9153". Lineage: Eukaryota; Metazoa; Chordata; Mammalia; Perissodactyla; Equidae. The record is from miRBase by way of RNAcentral.